Molecule: ribosomal RNA, 497 nt
Filed under: uncultured bacterium
Lineage: Bacteria
Description: partial 16S ribosomal RNA
Rfam family: Bacterial small subunit ribosomal RNA
Source: RNAcentral
GAUGAACGCUGGCGGCGUGCCUAAUACAUGCAAGUCGAGCGAACGGACGAGAAGCUUGCUUCUCUGAUGUUAGCGGCGGACGGGUGAGUAACACGUGGAUAACCUACCUAUAAGACUGGGAUAACUUCGGGAAACCGGAGCUAAUACCGGAUAAUAUUUUGAACCGCAUGGUUCAAAAGUGAAAGACGGUCUUGCUGUCACUUAUAGAUGGAUCCGCGCUGCAUUAGCUAGUUGGUAAGGUAACGGCUUACCAAGGCAACGAUGCAUAACCGACCUGAGAGGGUGAUCGGCCACACUGGAACUGAGACACGGUCCAGACUCCUACGGGAGGCAGCAGUAGGGAAUCUUCCGCAAUGGGCGAAAGCCUGACGGAGCAACGCCGCGUGAGUGAUGAAGGUCUUCGGAUCGUAAAACUCUGUUAUUAGGGAAGAACAUAUGUGUAAGUAACUGUGCACAUCUUGACGGUACCUAGUCAGAAAGCCACGGCUAACUACGUG